AUCCGUCGUUUUCCGCGGCCG
This 21-nucleotide small nuclear RNA is filed under the name Arabidopsis thaliana (thale cress). RNAcentral describes it as "snRNA_05731". Lineage: Eukaryota; Viridiplantae; Streptophyta; Magnoliopsida; Brassicales; Brassicaceae. The record is from RNAcentral.